AGUUCUCAACCACACCUGGUGUGGCUUGGAUUUGGGGGUGCAGGCUUUUGAGUCUGCUCCUCUGAAAAGGAUUAGUGGUAUCUAAGCAGAAACUACUGUCGGGCGUGAUAAUUAUCUAUGCCUCAGUGUGCAUGAACCGCUUCUAACCGAGUGUUGACAAGUUUGACCUCGAAUCAGGUAGGACUACCCGCUGAACUUAA
RNAcentral lists this unclassified non-coding RNA (200 nucleotides) under soil metagenome. RNAcentral's name for it is "partial contains internal transcribed spacer 2 and large subunit ribosomal RNA". The record is from RNAcentral.